UACGUAGGUGGCAAGCGUUGUCCGGAUUUAUUGGGCGUAAAGAGCUCGUAGGCGGUGUGUCGCGUCGGCCGUGAAAACCUGCAGCUUAACUGUGGGCGUGCGGUCGAUACGGGCAUCACUGGAGUUCGGCAGGGGAGACUGGAAUUCCUGGUGUAGCGGUGAAAUGCGCAGAUAUCGGGAAGAACACCCGUGGCGAAGGCGGUUCUCUGGGACGGUACUGACGCUGAGACGCGAAAGCGUGGGGAGCGAACAGG
Molecule: ribosomal RNA, 254 nt
Filed under: uncultured bacterium
Lineage: Bacteria
Description: partial 16S ribosomal RNA
Rfam family: Bacterial small subunit ribosomal RNA
Source: RNAcentral